This 407-nucleotide ribosomal RNA is filed under the name uncultured bacterium. Its description in RNAcentral is "partial 16S ribosomal RNA". It matches the Rfam family "Bacterial small subunit ribosomal RNA", at positions 28 to 526 of the family's 1533-position model. The record is from RNAcentral.
GACGAACGCUGGCGGCGUGCCUAAUACAUGCAAGUAGGACGCAGUUGCGAACGGGUGAGUAACCCGUAGGUAACUGCCUAUCAGAGGGGGAUAACUAUUGGAAACGAUAGCUAAUACCCCAUACUCGUAGAUGGACCUGCGUUGUUUUAGCUAGUAGGAAGGGUAAUGGCCUACCUAGGCAACGAUACAUAGCCGACGUGAGAGGGUGAGCGACGACACUGGGAGUGAGAAGCGGCAGAGGUGUAGAAGGGAGGAAGAAGUAGAGAAUGUUGGACAAUGGGGGGAACCCAGACCGAGCAACACCGCGUGAGUGAAGAGGGUGUACGGAUGGGAGAGCUCGGUUGUUAAGGAAGCGAUACUUAACUAGAAAGGGAGGGCGAACGUAGUGCCAGCAGCCGCGGUAAUAC